UAAGCGGAGGAAAAGAAACCAACAGGGAUUGCCUUAGUAGCGGCGAGUGAAGCGGCAAUAGCUCAAAUUUGAAAUCUGGCGUCUUCGGCGUCCGAGUUGUAAUUUGAAGAAGGUAUCUUUGGUUUUGGCUCUUGUCUAUGUUCCUUGGAACAGGACGUCACAGAGGGUGAGAAUCCCGUGCGAUGAGAUGCCCAAUUCCAUGUAAAGUUCCUUCGACGAGUCGAGUUGUUUGGGAAUGCAGCUCUAAGUGGGUGGUAAAUUCCAUCUAAAGCUAAAUAUUGGCGAGAGACCGAUAGCGAACAAGUACUGUGAAGGAAAGAUGAAAAGAACUUUGAAAAGAGAGUGAAAAAGUACGUGAAAUUGUUGAAAGGGAAGGGCUUGAGAUCAGACUUGGAAUUUUCCAGUAAUGGAGCUUUCCGGGCCAGCAUCAGUUUGGACGGCAGGAUAAUUGCGUGGGAAAGUGGCACUACUUCGGUGGUGUGUUAUAGCCCGCGUCGAUACUGCCUGUCUAGACUGAGGACUGCGUCUUUGACUAGGAUGCUGGCAUAAUGAUCUUAAGCCGCCCGUCUUGA
This 572-nucleotide ribosomal RNA is filed under the name Yamadazyma aff. lessepsii PLE3W1. RNAcentral's name for it is "LSU rRNA". It matches the Rfam family "Eukaryotic large subunit ribosomal RNA", at positions 47 to 657 of the family's 3401-position model. Lineage: Eukaryota; Fungi; Ascomycota; Pichiomycetes; Serinales; Debaryomycetaceae. The record is from RNAcentral.